AAAGCAGGCCCGUUCUAUCGCCGCGGCAAUAGCCGGGGAGGAAAGUCCGGACAACAUAGAGCGCCUCGCUUCCUAACGGGAAGGGUCCUGAUGCAGAUCGGGGUACGGAAAGUGCCACAGAAAACAAACCGCUCCGAUUCGUCGGAGCAAGGGUGAAAACGUGGGGUAAGAGCCCACGGCUUUGCAUGGUGACAUGCAUCGCGGUAAACCCCGGGGGUUGAAAGGCCAAAUAGGUUGCGGAU
This 242-nucleotide RNase P RNA is filed under the name Parapedobacter sp. RNAcentral's name for it is "partial RNase P RNA component class A". It matches the Rfam family "Bacterial RNase P class A", at positions 1 to 244 of the family's 367-position model. Rfam says of the family: Ribonuclease P (RNase P) is a ubiquitous endoribonuclease, found in archaea, bacteria and eukarya as well as chloroplasts and mitochondria. Its best characterised activity is the generation of mature 5'-ends of tRNAs by cleaving the 5'-leader elements of precursor-tRNAs. Lineage: Bacteria; Pseudomonadati; Bacteroidota; Sphingobacteriia; Sphingobacteriales; Sphingobacteriaceae. The record is from RNAcentral.